This 68-nucleotide transfer RNA is filed under the name Marmota monax (woodchuck). RNAcentral describes it as "tRNA.Ala". Lineage: Eukaryota; Metazoa; Chordata; Mammalia; Rodentia; Sciuridae. The record is from RNAcentral.
GGAUUGUGGCUCAGCGGUAGAGGGCUUGCCUAGCAUGUGUGGGGCUCUGGGUUCGAUCCUCAGCACCA